GAUGAACGCUGGCGGUGUGCCUAACACAUGCAAGUCGAGCGAACAGAUGAGGAGCUUGUUCUCUUGACGUUAGCGGCGGACGGGCGAGUAACACGUGGAUCACAUUCUUCUUAGACUGGGAUAAUUUCGGGAAACAGCAGACACUAAUGCCUAAUACAUUCUACCGCUUGGUUCAAUAGUGAUUGACGCCUUUGCCGAUACUUAUAGAUGGUUUCGCGCCGCAUUAGCUAGUUGGUAAGGUAACGGCCUACCAAGGCAACGAUGCGUAGCUGAGCUGAGAGGAUGAUCAGCCACACUGGAACUGAGACACGGUCCAGACUCCUACGGGAGGCAGCAGUGGGGAAUAUUCCACAAUGGGCGAAAGCCUGACGCAGCAACACCGCGUGAGUGAAGAAGGUCUUCGGGUCGUAAAGCUCUGUUGUUGGGAAAGAAAAGCAGUAGGUGAAUCUAUGGAUGUCUUGACGGUACCUAAAGAGAAAGCCACGGCUAACUUCGUG
RNAcentral lists this ribosomal RNA (497 nucleotides) under uncultured bacterium. Its description in RNAcentral is "partial 16S ribosomal RNA". It matches the Rfam family "Bacterial small subunit ribosomal RNA", at positions 28 to 507 of the family's 1533-position model. The record is from RNAcentral.